This 497-nucleotide ribosomal RNA is filed under the name uncultured bacterium. RNAcentral describes it as "partial 16S ribosomal RNA". It matches the Rfam family "Bacterial small subunit ribosomal RNA", at positions 28 to 507 of the family's 1533-position model. The record is from RNAcentral.
GAUGAACGCUGGCGGCGUGCCUAAUACAUGCAAGUCGAGCGAACAGACGAGGAGCUUGCUCCUUUGACGUUAGCGGCGGACGGGAGAGUAACACGUGGAUAACCUACCUAUAAGACUGGGAUAACUUCGGGAAACCGGAGCUAAUACCGGAUAACAUGCUGAACCGUAUGGUUCAACAGUGAAAGACGGUCUUGCUGUCACUAAUAGAUGCAUCCCCGCCGCGUUGGGUAGUUGGGAAGGUAACGGGUUAUCAAGGCAAGGAUGCGUAGCCGACCUGAGAGAGGGGUCGCCGACACUGGAACGGGAACACGGUCCAGGGUCCUGAGGGAGGCAGCAGUAGGGAAUCUGCCGCAAUGGGCGAAAGCCUGACGGAGCAACGCCGCGUGAGUGAAGAAGGUCUUCGGAUCGUAAAACUCUGUUAUUAGGGAAGAACAAAUGUGUAAGUAACUAUGCACGUCUUGACGGUACCUAGUCAGAAAGCCACGGCUAACUACGUG